This 336-nucleotide ribosomal RNA is filed under the name uncultured bacterium. RNAcentral's name for it is "bacterial SSU rRNA". It matches the Rfam family "Bacterial small subunit ribosomal RNA", at positions 1 to 334 of the family's 1533-position model. The record is from RNAcentral.
CUAGCGACUUCAGAGUUUGAUCCUGGCUCAGGACGAACGCUGGCGGUGUGCCUCAUACAUGCAAGUCGAACGAGAAGAAGAAGCUUGCUUCUUCGGAAAGUGGCGGACGGGUGAGUACAACAUAGGAAAUCUGCCUUUAGGUGGGGGACAACAGAGGGAAACUUCUGCUAAUACCCCCAUAUGAGCGUAGCUGAAAUGCUAUUCUUGAAAGUUCCGGCGCCUAAAGAUGAGCCUGUGCCUGAUUAGCUAGUUGGUAGUGUAAUGGACUACCAAGGCGACGAUCAGUAGCUGGUUUGAGAGGAUGAUCAGCCACAAUGGGACUGAGACACGGCCCAU